AUUGUGUGAAUACAUAGCACAUUCGAGGUAGACGCAGAGAACUGAAACAUCUAAGUACCUGCAGGAAGAGAAAGAAAAUUCGAUUCCCUGAGUAGCGGCGAGCGAAACGGGAAAAGCCCAAACCAGCAAGCUUGCUUGUUGGGGUUGUAGGACUCCAAUAUGGUAGUUCUUUCAGAUAGUCGAAUGACUUGGAAAAGUCAGUCAAAGAGGGUAAAAACCCCGUAGACGAAAUGUGGAAGACACCUAGGAGGAUCCUGAGUACGGCGGAACACGAGAAAUUCCGUCGGAAUCCGGGAGGACCAUCUCCCAAGGCUAAAUACUCCCUAGUGACCGAUAGUGAACCAGUACCGUGAGGGAAAGGUGAAAAGCACCCCGGAAGGGGAGUGAAAUAGAACCUGAAACCGUGUGCCUACAACAAGUCAAAGCCCGUUAAUGGGUGAUGGCGUGCCUUUUGUAGAAUGAACCGGCGAGUUACGAUUGCAUGCGAGGUUAAGUUGAAGAGACGGAGCCGCAGCGAAAGCGAGUCUGAAUAGGGCGUUUGAGUAUGUAGUCGUAGACCCGAAACCAUGUGAUCUACCCAUGUCCAGGUUGAAGGUGCGGUAAAACGCACUGGAGGACCGAACCCACGUACGUUGAAAAGUGCGGGGAUGAGGUGUGGGUAGCGGAGAAAUUCCAAACGAACUUGGAGAUAGCUGGUUCUCUCCGAAAUAGCUUUAGGGCUAGCCUCGGAAUUGAGAAUGAUGGAGGUAGAGCACUGUUUGGACUAGGGGCCCAUCUCGGGUUACCGAAUUCAGAUAAACUCCGAAUGCCAUUCAUUCAUAUCCGGGAGUCAGACUGUGAGUGAUAAGAUCCAUAGUCGAAAGGGAAACAGCCCAGACCACCAGCUAAGGUCCCAAAAUAUAUGUUAAGUGGAAAAGGAUGUGGGGUUGCACAGACAACUAGGAUGUUGGCUUAGAAGCAGCCACCAUUUAAAGAGUGCGUAA
Molecule: ribosomal RNA, 983 nt
Filed under: Enterococcus faecium
Lineage: Bacteria; Bacillati; Bacillota; Bacilli; Lactobacillales; Enterococcaceae
Description: partial 23S ribosomal RNA
Rfam family: Bacterial large subunit ribosomal RNA
Source: RNAcentral